RNAcentral lists this ribosomal RNA (253 nucleotides) under uncultured bacterium. Its description in RNAcentral is "partial 16S ribosomal RNA". It matches the Rfam family "Bacterial small subunit ribosomal RNA", at positions 524 to 776 of the family's 1533-position model. The record is from RNAcentral.
UACGAAGGGGGCUAGCGUUGUUCGGAAUUACUGGGCGUAAAGCGUUUGUAGGCGGUUAUUCAAGUCAGUGGUGAAAUCCUGGGGCUCAACCUCAGAAUUGCCAUUGAAACUGGAUAGCUAGAGAAUGUUAGAGGAAAGUGGAAUUCCUAGUGUAGGAGUGAAAUCCGUAGAGAUUAGGAGGAAUAUCGAUGGCGAAGGCAGCUUUCUGGGAGCAUUUCUGACGCUGAGAAACGAAGCGUGGGUAGCAAACAGG